AGGAUCACUUUGGGUCAAGAAAGGAACAAAACUAUAAAGUGGCGCCACCUACUGAUCUACAGAGGGUCUGUUCUGAGCUGAACCACAAGGUGGCGGUCAACGACCAAUAAUGACCAUGUCAUUGGGGUUUCCAGCUCGACGUGACAGACCACACUGACCUGCCGUGUCUGAUGACACAACCACAAAACCCUCAGGUUGGACAAUCCAAUAUGUACAUGACUUGGUGAUGCACAAUGAAGAAUCCUAACCGUCACAGCAGCUGUAGAAAUACAACAGAUCUAUUUUCUUUCUUUUUUUUUGUUUUCUUUAUACUUCUACAGACAAGCUUUUCUUGGUAAAACUUAUAAUUUAGCAGAACCUUUUACAUUUUUUUUUGCAAUUGCCAAGACGCAAAAACUGGCACAAUUACUGCCACAAUAUCUAUUAAUCAGGUAUGCUAAACCAUAAAUACAUGUCUGCUUUAGUUUGAAAUUCUAAAACACACGUUUUGCAAAUAACUACACACGUAUAUCUACAUUAGACACGUCAUUCAAAGCUAAAAGCCUGUUUGUGUUGUUUGCUAAACACUGACAUUGAAAUACCACAUUCAAUUAUUUCUUAGAAACUAGUGCUUGAACACUAUAAAUAGGAUUCAGGUUUGCUCUUUGGUGUGCA
This is a long non-coding RNA of Sebastes umbrosus (honeycomb rockfish), 654 nucleotides long. RefSeq lists it as uncharacterized. The record is from RefSeq and is a predicted model, not a curated record. Lineage: Eukaryota; Metazoa; Chordata; Actinopteri; Perciformes; Sebastidae. The transcript has 2 exons.